GACGAACCGUGCGAACGUUGUUCGGAAUCACUGGGCUUAAAGGGCGCGUAGGCGGGCCCUCAAGUCCGGGGUGAAAUCCUCCCGCUUAACGGGAGAAGAGCCUCGGAGACUGAGGGCCUCGAGGGAGGUAGGGGCGUGCGGAACUAUGGGUGGAGCGGUGAAAUGCAUUGAUAUCCAUAGGAACUCCGGUGGCGAAGGCGGCACGCUGGACCUCUUCUGACGCUGAGGCGCGAAAGCCAGGGGAGCAAACGGG
This 253-nucleotide ribosomal RNA is filed under the name uncultured bacterium. RNAcentral describes it as "partial 16S ribosomal RNA". It matches the Rfam family "Bacterial small subunit ribosomal RNA", at positions 524 to 776 of the family's 1533-position model. The record is from RNAcentral.